Alligator sinensis (Chinese alligator) is the source of this 736-nucleotide long non-coding RNA. RefSeq lists it as uncharacterized. Lineage: Eukaryota; Metazoa; Chordata; Crocodylia; Alligatoridae. The transcript has 3 exons. The record is from RefSeq and is a predicted model, not a curated record.
GUUCCCGGCGCCUCCAUGCGCCCAGGCGCUGCCGGGGGCUGUUUGCCAGGUACAGAAGCCAGGCGGCCUUGAUCCGAUUCAGAUUAUACAUAUCUACAGUUUUAAAAGUUUUCUGAUUGAUUCUGACUACAACACAGACACUCAGAGUGAGACAGUCUGGGCAUGUCUCCUGAAGAAUACAUAGGAAAGCAAAUUCAGGCCACAAGAGUUGGGGACAGAUGAAAGAGGAGAAGAUCCAAAAAGAUGCAAUCUCUACUUCCAGCCAUUACAGUUCCUCAAUGUAUGAGAACAUUCAUCUCUAAUUCAGCUGCCAACUGAGCCUUUCAGUUACUGGAUUGACAGUGAAGGCUCUAGCUACAAAGGGAAAGAAGUAUAUUGGAUGACACCACUCAGCUGCAAAGAGCCAGCAAAAGUUGGGGAGACCAGAAGAAUAGAGAGUACUUCUCAGAACAACCCUUGCUAGCACCAGCAGCUUGUCCUACAGAAAAAGAAAGGAGCAUAAUGUGGUUUCAUUUUUCUCAAAUGUCAGUGAUAGCAACAACCUCCCAUUCCAGAGCCAGAAGGGAAGCAUAUUUAGGAACCAGUAAAUAGAAACCUAAUCAAGAAGGGAAGAUAAAACAAGGAAUAAUGGGAGAAGUCCUAGAAUAAGAGAAACAAGUCUGACUUCUGGCAGAAAAGAGAUGGGAUUGUUAAGUGAGAAGGAAGAGAAGUGUUAUUGGAGACUAGGGGCCUUUGU